UGCUGGUAUCCUGACCGUGCUAAGGUAGCAUAAUCAUUUGUCCAUUAAUUGUGGACUGGAAUGAAUGGGUUAAUGAAAUUUAAGCUGUCUCUAAUUAACAUUAUAAAAACUAGUCAUUAAGUGAAGAAACUUAAAUUAAAUUGAAAGACAAGAAGACCCUAUAGAGCUUUACUCUAACCUAAAAUAACUAUUUUAGCAACAGUUCGGUUGGGGCGACCAGGGAGCAUCAUCUCUAAACAAACAGAAAAAUAAUUCAUACAAUAUGACCCUUUAAAGAUCAUAAAAUCAAGCUACCUUAGGGAUAACAGGCUAAUUUUCCUACAGAGACCUUAUUAACAGGAAAGAUUGGCACCUCGAUGUGCAGAAAAGAAA
RNAcentral lists this ribosomal RNA (372 nucleotides) under Lumbriculus variegatus. RNAcentral describes it as "partial 16S ribosomal RNA". It matches the Rfam family "Bacterial large subunit ribosomal RNA", at positions 1932 to 2544 of the family's 2925-position model. The record is from RNAcentral. Lineage: Eukaryota; Metazoa; Annelida; Clitellata; Lumbriculida; Lumbriculidae.